This 460-nucleotide ribosomal RNA is filed under the name uncultured bacterium. RNAcentral's name for it is "partial 16S ribosomal RNA". It matches the Rfam family "Bacterial small subunit ribosomal RNA", at positions 338 to 795 of the family's 1533-position model. The record is from RNAcentral.
CCUACGUGAGGCAGCAGUGAGGAAUAUUGGUCAAUGGGCGAGAGCCUGACCCAGCCAAGUCGCGUGAAGGAUGACGGCCCUACGGUUUGUAACCUUCUUUUGUCAGGGAGCACUUUGGUCCACGCGUGGGCUUAGCGAGAGUACCUGAAGGAAAAGCAUCGGCUAACUCCGUGCCAGCAGCCGCGGUACUACGGAGGAUGCGAGCGUUAUCCGGAUUUAUUGGGUUAAAGGGGUGCGUAGGCGGAAUAUCAAGUCAGCGGUAAAAAUUCGGGGCUCAACCCCGUCGUGCCGUUGAAACUGAUGUUCUUGAGUGGGCGAGAAGUAUGCGGAAUGCGUGGUGUAGCGGUGAAAUGCAUAGAUAUCACGCAGAACUUCGAUUGCGAAGGCAGCAGACCGGCGCCCAACUGACGCUGAAGCGCGAAAGCGUGGGUAUCGAACAGGAUUAGAUACCCGAGUAGUC